UACGAAGGGGGCUAGCGUUGCUCGGAAUCACUGGGCGUAAAGGGUGCGUAGGCGGGUCUUUAAGUCAGGGGUGAAAUCCUGGAGCUCAACCUGGGAAUGGCAUUUGGGACUGCAAGGCUUGAGUGCGGCAGAGGAGACUGGAAUUCCUGGUGUAGCAGUGAAAUGCGUAGAUAUCAGGAGGAAUACCGAUGGCGAAGGCAGGUCUCUGGGCUGACACUGACGCUCAUGCACGAAAGCGUGGGGAGCAAACAGG
RNAcentral lists this ribosomal RNA (253 nucleotides) under uncultured bacterium. RNAcentral's name for it is "partial 16S ribosomal RNA". It matches the Rfam family "Bacterial small subunit ribosomal RNA", at positions 524 to 776 of the family's 1533-position model. The record is from RNAcentral.